UGGCUAUGCCCGAUCCAUUGGGACCAUCCCCGAGCUUCUACGACCUCCGGAAGGGGUCAAACCACCAAAUCUCAACCAAAAAGUACACGAUAUUUUUGAAUAACUUUUUGUCGGAACGUCGUAGAGACUUGGGCAUUUCACACAUGAUAAAGGAGAGACAGCCACGCACCCACACCGAAUUUCAGCCCGUUUCGAGCAAGC
RNAcentral lists this unclassified non-coding RNA (201 nucleotides) under Hevea brasiliensis (rubber tree). The record is from RNAcentral. Lineage: Eukaryota; Viridiplantae; Streptophyta; Magnoliopsida; Malpighiales; Euphorbiaceae.